This is a long non-coding RNA of Mytilus trossulus (common blue mussel), 609 nucleotides long. RefSeq lists it as uncharacterized. The record is from RefSeq and is a predicted model, not a curated record. Lineage: Eukaryota; Metazoa; Mollusca; Bivalvia; Mytilida; Mytilidae. The transcript has 3 exons.
CGACCUGGUUGAAGAAACUGAUGAGAACAAAUGGAAAAUUUAUUAAAUAUGAUCCAAUGUCAGGACAAAACACGACUUAGGUGUAAUUUAUCGCUUUCAGGUCACCUGACAAUAACAGGAUUGAGGUUACAGUAUGCCAUUCAAGCUGUGAUGAAAUAUAAAGUAAUGGUUUGAAUUUGGAGAGCUGCAUUACAUAUAUUAUAGACAGGGAUGAAGACCUGCAGUCAGACACCAGUUAAAAGUUACUUAUAACUCAUCAUGGUCAUUAUGGAAGAUCUGAUUAAAAUUUGUUUAGAAAGCCACCAAAUAUGUCCAUGAAAAAUAGAAAAAUGAUAGCAAUUCUACAUAAUGCACCGUACUUAGUAGAAGCAUUGACUGUUUCAAAACCAAAUGAAUUGGAAUUUAGUGUAUUGAUGCUGAAAGAGAGAGGAAUAUUAUUUAUUGGACAAUUUAACUUCUUUUUCAUCAUUAUUGAAGUUGAUACCAUCUUAAAGAGUUUUUACUUCAGUUAAAAGGAAUACCAAUAUACAUAAUAAAGGCAGUUUGGAGAUUUGUGAAUAUUCUUAAAAUAGGAGCUUCAAAAAGGAUUUCAGUUCAAAUAUUGUAUUU